UGCCUGCCUCAGCCUCCCAAAGUGCUGAGAUUACAGGUGUGAGCCACCAUGCCAGUCCUGAAUUUUCACUUUUCAUUUGCAAAAUUGUCAGUCACUUUUUGAAACUUGAGGAAGGAAGGAAUCAAGAAAAUGAAGUGAAUGAUAAGGCUAUUUAGACUGUUUAUAUUUGUCUUAGAGUCCCAUUUUUGUCUUGUAUUCUUUCUUCUCUCUAAUGGCUGGGUUUUUCAACAAUAAUACAGGGAAGCAUAAAAGUUAGCAAAUGAGGGCUACCCUAGAGGACAAUUUUGAUUGGGUUUCAUGUUGGUCUACCUAAAUGAAUCAACAGUUUUAACAGGGUGGCAUUUAAUUAUAUUUGUUUACAGAAGUAUUUUUAUAUUUGAAUUUCAUUCAUAACAGUGUUUUUCAUGGUCAAAGACUGGGAGAGAUGCGGGAAUAAUAUUUGAAGACAAUAAGGGUGUUCCCCACCUCUGUAUUCUUAUUCUCUGACCUAGAAACACUACAGACAUUCUUUAACUGAACCUAUAAGGGGCUGAGUACCAACAACAUAAGUCAGAAAAAGGUUUGCAUUGACCCCUUUGGAGUCUAAAUAUUGUAAUAAAUGUUAUUAGUUCUGAAAUGUCCUAUCUUUUUGAUUUCCCAAAUGACUGCAGAAAUGCUUUGAUCUUUUUUGUUCUAUGAUAUUGUAGAGAUACCUCAUUAAUGAUGUUUUUAAUAUUUUUCUUUUCACAAAUACUUGACCUGGGCUAUAAUGCUGUAUUUAUUGUAAGUUUCAUGCAAAGCAAUCCAGUUGUUCUGAUUCUUAGACUUUUCCAGUGGGAUCUAAGAAAUCAAAUUAGAAGUAACUCAUAAAAAAUGUUCUUCUCAUGCAGGCAAAUGUGAAGUCAACUUGUUUGUUUUUUUCUUAAUCAGCUGAAUAUCAUUUGUAUAUCUUUGAAGUAGUACUAUUACUUGGAAUAAAAAAAAAUUGUUCCUGCCACAUAAACACAUAUAAACAAAUCUUAUGACUUUCAUUGACAAGAUUGUAUUGUAUUACUUUCUUUAACUUCUACCUAUUUUUCUUCUUCCAAAACAGUUGUUUUCAGGAUUCUGGGUACUGAUAGGGAUUUUUAAAAGUAAGAGGCAGUUCUGAAUGCAUUAUGUCUUUUUUUGUAAAUUGAUAGAUAGGGAAAAUAUAAGUCAGCCUGGCAUGAAUAUAAUUUGAUUGGGUUAUAUUCAUGCCUAUAAUCCCAGAAUUACAAUUCCAGUGUAUAAUUCCUGCAAGUGAGGUGAGAGGAUCACUUGAGCCAAGAAGUUGGAGACAAGGUCUCACUCUAUCACCCAGGCUGGACUGCAGUGAGCCAUGUUUGUGCCACUGUACUCCAGCCUGGGUGACAAAGCAAGACCCUGUCUCCAAAAAAGAAAAAGAAAUGUAAUUCUCUUUCUUCUGGUCAGCAGCUCACAGGCUAGAGCACAUUGGAAACCUGUUAUAUUCUUCAUUUUUAUCCAUGACAUGGCUUCUUUUAGAAUAUGAACUAUUUGGAAUGAAGACAGGAAAAUUUAACAAAGCAGUGGGAAUAAAAAUGUUCACAACUUAAAAUAUAUGGCCUGUUUUUAAAUUUGAGAAUAUUUUCAGAAAAUUACUGAUUGAAACCUAUUGCUUUCAUUGAGGUGGUGUUACAACACAAUUGAUCUUUGAAAAAGUGAUGGCUUCACCAGGGAAAUACUAGACCUCUACCCCAGUGACUCCUGCUAAAGAUGGUCUUUGCCGUCACUGCCCUUUCUGACUCCUUUGUGUGUGCUCAGAUUGGCACACUGAUUAAUUUCAGAUACCAUCAGCAAAAAUGGAAUAUGCUGAACAAGCACUUACAAAGUAGUGGUUCUUUAUAGAACAGAGCUGUAGCCCUUCAGUAACAAAGAAUGAGUCCCAGGAAAUGAGUUAAUUUAACAAAUUGCUAGUUGCCUACCUGCCAUUGUACUGAGGAAUUAUAUAUGGAAGGUAUAUUUUAAUUAUAUAUUAAAAGGAACAUUUCCUUAAUUUCUUCUUUCUGUCUCCCAUCUUCCAGUGUCCUCUGGGAAGGCAGUAAAGGUGGGAGGGGCAUAUUAAAUAAAAUGUGUGACAGGUUCCUGAAUAAUUUUUACUGAUUUGUUGAGCUAGAUUAAGUGAGCUUAGAGUUGAAUCUUCAAAAGGAUCGUAUCCUUUUAUCAAGAGUUUAUAAUCUGGAUAUUUUCAUUUGAAGAGCAGUGAUAAUAUCAGGCUAAGAUUUACUGAAUUGCAUAAGUGGCUUUGCAGAAGACAAAAUGAAACAACUUCUAUAUAAUAAACUGGAAGAUUAACCUGCACAUCACUUAAACAAAUAAAUAACAAGCAACCAUAUAUUUUAAAAUGGAACAACAGCAAGAUAAACAAACAAAAGGGAUAGCUCAAAACCUCUAUUAAAAGGCAAGUUCUGGUUUCCCAAGGAUCAAGAAUUUUACGAUUUGAGAAAAAUACCUAAGUGUUACCUGCACUUCUGUACAACAAAUUUCAUUAUUUCAUACUUUAUUGUCACUACUGUCCUGAAAUUAAUGGAUCACAUUCAAGUAUUCCUUCUUGGAAAAAUAUCACUGCAAUGUAACAAUUCUCAAGUCAUAGUGCAAACAAGAUUAUAUUUAUCAUGUACAGGCAGGUUUUAUUGGUCCUGGUACAUUUAGCUCCCCCUACCCCCAUUCAUCUGCUGAUGGCCAAUAAAAGCUAUAGAAAGUCUCAUCAAUGAAAUUAGUAAUCUGUGGGGACAAACAUGCCGUUAGUGCCUGUCAUUUGAGAUUUGCGAUCAUUGACAUGCUUUUUAUGGCCUCUGAAAAUAUUGGUUUGACUUAAAAAAAUGCAGAGUUGUUUCUAUUGUUAGAUAUAUUUAUAAAAUUCUGAAUGGAAAAACACUCUUUGGUAGCCACUUGAAUUUUUAAAACUACAUUUAAUAAAAUAUAACUUGUAAGAAUAGCCAUCAGCACGGGAUAAGUAACAAUGUCUUUUAAGUAGCUUCUGCUAUACUUGACGAAAAGUGCUGAAGUGGCAAAAUGUUUGCUGUAGAGAUGUACAGUAGACAAUUUGUGAAGGAUAUUAGGUAUUUCUUCACUUUAAGAGGGGAUCUCCUCUUGAUCUACUCUUUAUUUCCUGUCCCAGUGUGAACAAGGUAAGAGUUGAUGAAUUAGAAUCAAGAUACUUGAAAUUAAGACUUAGAUGUAGCACUUUGUGAUCUGUAAAAAUCAUAUCAGAUCUUGUUUAAAUAUGAAAAUUUUUGAGUUUAGCCAAAAUCACCAGCAUCAUUUGUGUAUAUAAAGUUUAAUCCUAUCCUUGGAAUAAUAGAACUUCGAGGUUGGAAGAUAAAUCUUGAAUAGUUUGAAGUUAAACCCUACCUGGCGUUGCAGUGAGUCCUGUUGAAAAACAUUUUCUACAUGUCCUCAACAAGUCUUUCAUUUCUUUAGUUACAAGGAAUUGCCCAACCUACCAAGGCUUCCCCAUUUUAUCUUUGACUGACUCUACAAAAUUUUUUUUAAAAAAUCGUGGCCAUAUUUUAAGACACAGAGGGAGGGGAGACAGCCAGAUCUAAAGGAAAUUAAUCUACUUGAGAGGAAUUUACUUACAGAAAGAUGAUCUAGCUAAAUGAGAUAAACUGGACUGAUAAAAAUUAUCCAAACCCAGUUUUAGAUGCCUAUGGCAGGUUCACAAAAACUAAUUCUUUGUCUCUAAUGGAUCUGAGCUGACAGCAGUAUAUUAGAGACCAAGCGUCUGUGACUGUCGUGGAGAAGCCCCUCAGGGAUGAAAGAGUUACAGAGGAUUUUCAAAUGUUAAUUAUAUUUACAAACAGAUCAGAUGUAGGCAUAGAUAUAUUAGAAUAUUUUGUAUCUUCUCUCAUUUAUUUUUCUACUGCUAGAUAAAUGGGACUUACAAGUAUCUGAGUAGGCAAACAAGAAAGAAUGUACACAGUUUUAUUAAUUUAUCUGAGGCUGUGAUAAACUGUAGACCAAGUCAAAUGGAAUAGUUUUGGCAUGGGACUUGCUGUGCAUAUGAUGAUCAGUCAGCUUUUUUCUAAGUUAAACUUGAGAACUAAGAACUUUAAGAAGUGUAUGGGUAUAUAUAGGGUGUGUGUGUGUGUGUGUGUGUGUGUGUGUGUGUAUAAUUUUACAAGACUCUAGAAUUAUAAUAUGGCAUUUAUUUUAAGGAAUAUUUGACCAAGAAUUUCACUUGGCAAUGUUAACCUCUAAAUAUGACAAAUACUGCAGCUACUCAAAUUUUUUAAAUUCCUUUAUAAUAGUCCCUGAGACCUGAUGAUUGAGAUCAUAAAAAAGGAAUGGUGGUUUUCUUUCAGAAUUUUAAAUUUUCUCAAAUAAUAUUUCACCAAAUAUUAGCCACACUUGGAUACUUUGACUCCACUGGUCAUUAAAAUAUAUAGUCGAAAUUACUCCUAUGGAAUAGGGACUUCAAUAGAAAGAAAGCUUUAGAAAUGAGUCUUUCUUUUCAGUUAAAUUUUAUUUAAUUUUCAGAGUUAAUAUAAUUCAAAUUAUUUAGAAGUUUACCAGGUCCUAUUAUAAAACCAGUUUGUUUAUUUUUAAAAACUUCAUCUGAAUAUUCUAAAGAAGUAAAAAUAAAUCUAUUUGUAGAGAUUUAUUUCAAAACAAUACCUUUUAAAGAAAAAUAUGUUUUGUGCUGGGAUGCAAUCUUAUUCAUCACUUGAUAAAUGAUGCUUUUAAUUCAGAUAAUUAGAGUAAUUCAUAACCAAUUUUUAGAUAUAGCAGACUUGCCAUUCCAUUUCUAUAAAAUAAAAAUGCAUUGUAAUGUUUACAUUGAUUAGCAAUAAUAACAACACAGUAGUCGUAACAGCAUAUUACCUAAAAUCAGUGGUAAUAAUGUCCUACAAUGAUAAUAUUGUACAAACUUAAAAGUGAGAUUUUCUUUAAAAUCUUUUGUCGUACUCUUGAGAGAAAGAUAGAAGGGAAAAAACGUCACUAUAGAAAAUGCUUUUUCAUAACUGUUUCCAGAGCAAUUGAGGGUAGAAGGAAAGGAUAGUCAGAGAUUGUUUCAAAUUUAAUAUGAAAUAAACCAUUACCCUUAACUAUUCAGCAAUGGCACAGUUAUAUUUCAUGCCAGGUAUUUACAGUUAUAUUGAGUGGGUUUUUGUAUUUAAUGUUAUAAUCAUUCAACUUGGAAUUUCCUAUUAAAUACAAUACUAUAAAAAAGAUUUAGGUACAGUUUCCUGGUGUGUUUGAGGCUGUUCACUCUGCAAACAAAUAAAAAUACAUCUAAUUGGUUUGUGGCAUUUUGGGAUUUUUUUCAGAAGGAAUGUACUU
Sapajus apella (tufted capuchin) is the source of this 5304-nucleotide long non-coding RNA. RefSeq lists it as uncharacterized. The transcript is spliced from 2 exons. Lineage: Eukaryota; Metazoa; Chordata; Mammalia; Primates; Cebidae. The record is from RefSeq and is a predicted model, not a curated record.